ACUCCUACGGGAGGCAGCAGUGGGGAAUAUUGCACAAUGGGCGAAAGCCUGAUGCAGCCAUGCCGCGUGUGUGAAGAAGGCCUUCGGGUUGUAAAGCACUUUCAGUUGUNAGGAAAGGAGUGUAGUUAAUAACNNCAUU
Molecule: ribosomal RNA, 139 nt
Filed under: uncultured Gammaproteobacteria bacterium
Lineage: Bacteria; Pseudomonadati; Pseudomonadota; Gammaproteobacteria
Description: partial 16S ribosomal RNA
Rfam family: Bacterial small subunit ribosomal RNA
Source: RNAcentral